This 411-nucleotide unclassified non-coding RNA is filed under the name fungal sp. Its description in RNAcentral is "partial internal transcribed spacer region". The stretch from base 1 to 46 matches the Rfam family "Eukaryotic small subunit ribosomal RNA", at positions 1786 to 1831 of the family's 1831-position model. The record is from RNAcentral. Lineage: Eukaryota; Fungi.
AAGUCGUAACAAGGUUUCCGUAGGUGAACCUGCGGAAGGAUCAUUCACACACGUGAGUCAUGUUGGCUGUGCGGUUUGCUGCAUGGCCGGCCUGCAACCCAAACCAAAUCCACCGAGCUACGUACAAACCCAAUAAAGUCCAGGACCUUCAUGGCAAAAUCCAGGCACUGCUAGAGAUUUGACUCGCAGAUGUUAAACGCCGGGAACCCGUCAUAGCAUGAAUCGGGGCAACCUGAGUAAUUGUUAUGGCCAAAGCAUACAAGACCCUCGGAUUCCAACCCCGUUGGUCGACCCACCUUCACUGGCUUUCUCUGGCAACAGGGACUGCCUUACAUUUUGUCGAAAACUCGCUGGCGAAAGCUGGCAUUACGUAACUAAAUACAACUCUUUGCAAUGGAUAUCUUGGUUCUC